AAGGUUGUAGCAUAAUUGGUUAAUGCAAUUCGCUCAUAAUGGAUCUUAUGUGGGUUCAAUUCCCGCCGGCCUUA
RNAcentral lists this transfer RNA (74 nucleotides) under Cantharellus cibarius (golden chanterelle). Its description in RNAcentral is "tRNA-Met". It matches the Rfam family "tRNA". Rfam says of the family: Transfer RNA (tRNA) molecules are approximately 80 nucleotides in length. Their secondary structure includes four short double-helical elements and three loops (D, anti-codon, and T loops). The record is from RNAcentral. Lineage: Eukaryota; Fungi; Basidiomycota; Agaricomycetes; Cantharellales; Hydnaceae.